UUCCCCUCUUUUUUUAAGGGGGUGCUAUUCUCGCUCGGGAAGUGGGGGAGGAGAAGGGGAGAUUCGGGCCGGCUCGGAUGCUGUGUGCCUGCGGGUCGGGGCUGUGCCGUGCUCCCCCCGUCCUGCUGUGUGUGUGUCUGUCUGUCUGUGUGUAUGUCUGUCUGCGUGUAUAUGUGUGUGCGGUUCUCGUACCUAGACAAUGCUCCGCAAAGCGAGAGGCUCCUGCGGAGAAAUGCAAACACCUCCUCCCCCGAGUGCCUGAGCAAAGGAAAGGGGACGAGGAGCCAAUCGCCGCUCCUCCGCUUCUUCAUUAAUAUGGAGGAGAACGAAGGCACCAAUGAGGAGCAGAGGGAGGAGGGGGUUAUUUAAAUCGAGUUGCUUAAAUCAAGCACUUCUCCGCCACCACAACCACCACCACCACCCCUGUUUGUUUUGUUGUGUGGUUGGGGGAAGUCAUUGCCGCUGGAUGGGAGGAGGUGCGAGUGCAAGAUCCAUCAGCCCACUGGACACAAAGGCAGAAUUUGCUCAUUCCUCUUCCCAGAGACUUUCAAGGGUGCCCAUGGAUUUCUGGUGGAGCAGUACAGAUAUCUUCCAUUUUCUACUACCAUACACUGCCACACAAUCCACUCUCCAAAAGAAGAAGCUUUAUGGACCUUUAUUUUGUUGUUGUUCUUUGUUUGUUUUCUUUUUUUUUCUUAUUUAUGUAAAUGAUUAAAUAUUUAUGCACUUUUAGUUCUAGAUAUCUAAAUUGUGAAUUCCAUUUGACAUCUUU
RNAcentral lists this long non-coding RNA (772 nucleotides) under Gallus gallus (chicken). RNAcentral's name for it is "long non-coding RNA NONGGAT003624". Lineage: Eukaryota; Metazoa; Chordata; Aves; Galliformes; Phasianidae. The record is from RNAcentral.